RNAcentral lists this ribosomal RNA (666 nucleotides) under Pseudechiniscus sp. 10 PG-2020. RNAcentral describes it as "partial large subunit ribosomal RNA". It matches the Rfam family "Eukaryotic large subunit ribosomal RNA", at positions 71 to 608 of the family's 3401-position model. Lineage: Eukaryota; Metazoa; Tardigrada; Heterotardigrada; Echiniscoidea; Echiniscidae. The record is from RNAcentral.
GGGAUUCCCUCAGUAACGGCGAGUGAAGAGGGAGAAGCCCAGCGCUGAAUCGUACUGCUUGCAAAGGUAGUAUGACAUGUGGCGUGAAGCUGGCGGCUAUUGCUGUUGUCGAUGCGUGUAAGUCUCCCUGAGCGGGGCUCAGUCCCAGAGAUGGUGCUAGGCCCGUAUCGCGCGUGACAAGUACAGCAAUGUUCGUUAGCGGAGAGUCAGGUUGCUUGGGAACGCAAUCUAAAGUCGGUGGUACACUCCAUCGAAGGCUAAAUAUGGCUUCGAGUCCGAUAGCGAACAAGUACCGUGAGGGAAAAUUGAAAAGCACUUUGAAGAGAGAGCGAAAUAGUGCGUGAAACCGCUCAGAGGUAAGCAGAUGGGCCUUUGAAGGUGUGCAUAGGAUUUGUUUCCUAGUUCGUACGCCACCGUCGUUGCUUGAUUUUAUGGUGCGCCAUGCGCUGACAUUUGGACACCCGAGAUUGGGACUCGUGCCUGCUCGGGAUGCUCGGUGUUGGACGUAAUGAGUAUAGCGGCACUCGGUAACGAAGCAGGGCAUUGUCGUUGCUGUAAAGCGCCGGCUGUGUUUGCUUGCUGGCGUAUUUUGCUGUUGUAACGAGACGCAAGUCUCGGUAUGCGGCGUACGUUGCAACUCAAGCAUUAGCCCCGGCAUAACGACUU